This 544-nucleotide ribosomal RNA is filed under the name uncultured bacterium. RNAcentral's name for it is "bacterial SSU rRNA". It matches the Rfam family "Bacterial small subunit ribosomal RNA", at positions 775 to 1314 of the family's 1533-position model. The record is from RNAcentral.
AGAAAAUAGAUACCCAGGUAGUCCACGCCCUAAACGAUGUCGACUGGUUGUUGGGGGUUUGACACUCUCAGUAAACGAAAGCUAAACGCGUGAAGUCGACCGCCUGGGGAGUACGGCCGCAAGGUUAAAACUCAAAGGAAUUGACGGGGACCCGCACAAGCGGUGGAUUAUGUGGAUUAAUUCGAUGCAACGCGAAAAACCUUACCUACCCUUGACAUGUCCGGAAGGCUGCUGAAAGGCGGCUGUGCCCGAAAGGGAACUGGAACACAGGUGCUGCAUGGCUGUCGUCAGCUCGUGUCGUGAGAUGUUGGGUUAAGUCCCGCAACGAGCGCAACCCUUGUCAUUAGUUGCUACCCGCAAGGGAGCACUCUAAUGAGACUGCCGGUGACAAACCGGAGGAAGGUGGGGAUGACGUCAAGUCCUCAUGGCCCUUAUGGGUAGGGCUUCACACGUAAUACAAUGGCGCGUACAGAGGGUUGCCAAGGAGCGAUCUGGAGCCAAUCCCGUAAAGCGCGUCGUAGUCCGGAUUGCAGUCUGCAACUCG